UGCAUCUCAGCUUCUUGUGCAGCAGGCUCUUAAACAAUGUCUCUGCGUUGGGCUCUCAGAUUAGUUUGGCUUAUUUGCGCAGUAUCACCUGUUUAUGUAGUAAGCGAUGCUUAUGAUUGUGCCAGAGCACACUUUGAACAACACCCUGGGAAUUUCAGAUUUCGCACAGGUGGUUGGUUGUUACACAGUGGAAAUGGAAUGAAGGGUUUUCACGUCAAGAAAUGCAGGAUUUGGAGGGGAAAAUGGACGGCUGUAGUGAAAAAGCCGAUGGCAGCAAUCAAAACGCUUUGAUGACUGUAUACAAAAAUGUGCUGGCUUGCUGCGGUGAGGAGGCCUACAAUCCAGUCAAUGAAAUAUGCUGUGACUCAGCCAUCAGAGUGAAACCUGCUGUUAAGAGCAAGUGUUGUGGUAAAGGUAAUAGUUCCAUUACCUCAAGAAGACAGGUUGAUGACUGUGAACCAGAAAGCAAAAUCUGGACCGAUCAGCACUACUGUGGGCCUAAAGUUUUCAGACCUGAAAAAGAGAUCUGCUGCAGUGGACACAGAUAUAACAAAGCAGGAAAUGAUCACUGCUGUGGGGUGAAAGCCUACAACAUUACAGACCCAAAGAUGAAGUGCUGUGCAGGAACACUGCACCGUCUCACAGCUGCAACUGCAAAUGGCGAGUGCUGUGGAUCCAUUCUGUACACAGAGGGUGUUUGCUGCCUGAGUGAGGAUAAAGAGGUGUUCUACUCUGCAAAGGCAGAUUUCAGAUGUUGUGGACAUCUCUACUACAACACCUCUCUGUGGUCAUGCUGUGCAGGGAAACUGAGACCUCGGAAAUCAGGGGUGUUCCACAACUCCACAAUUUUGUCCUUGAACAAACUAAAUCAAGCAGAACUUUGCAACCCAAUAAAAAUUGGGACUGUGGAAAGUGUAUCUCAGCACAGCAUCGUGUUCAGCAGUUUGCUGGAAAUCAAUGGGCAAAUUGCUUCUUUGAAACCUCUGGACUGGCAUUAUUCCUGGAACAAACCUUAUUUACCUGAACUAACUCCUGGGAAGACUUAUUUCUUCAACGAUAAUAAUGUCUUCAUUGAUUUCAAUCAUGACUCUCUUCUUCAGUCGAUCCGUUUCAUUAUUUCCAAAUGUUCGUCUGGUUAAUCUGGUUAAUCUGCUCCAGUGUGCAAUAUGAAAUUAGUUCUCAGAGAGUGACAAAAGCUUCAGUAGUAAAAUAUGUACUUUGUGCAGUCAAAGUCAUGCAAUAAGAUGGUGCACUAAAUAGUGUGUUGUCUGCGUUCUCAUAGUGAGUUCUCAUAAAAGCUCUUUACAGUUUUGUUCUUCAGAUUUUUUUCUUUUCAAAUUUGUAUUAUGUAACAAAAAACGUAAAAACUGCAGUUGUUUGGGCGGAUGCGAUUUUUCGCUAAUUUACUCUACUAUCAGCAAUAAAAGCUAAAUAUGCAGGUGCCCUGUGAUGUCUGCAUAUUUAUCUUUAACUGUGCUUAUAUUGUUUAUUUCUUAAUUGUUACUCAAUAGCUAAUUUUUCCCUGAGGUCUUUGUUCUGUGUUACUAUAUAUUCACAUUUAUACAAAAAUCAGUUAUCAUCAUCAUCAUAAAUGUAUUCAUGUUUUAUCCAAUGAAUAAAUUUUUAAAGAAUAUAUCAGUGGCCAUGUUUUUUUAUGAUGCAGUUUUUUUUAUUUAUGCUACAACUGGUUUUGUUGAAAAUCAUAUUUGGUGAGUAAUUCAAUAACCAUUGCUGUCAGAUGUGAAUGAAUUUAAUUUAAGCAGAAGUUAAGCUUUCAUUUUACCUGUUUAUAUUUUACCGUCUGCAUCCAGAGACAAUAACCAGAUUACUGUUUAUUAAACAGUAUUAAACAAAACAUUAUUCAAUUAGUUUUCUCUUUGGCUCUCGGAGGAGGCGGACACAUCUUCCCUGCUGCUGCUUUUAUGUCUUUGUCUAGUCUUGUCUAAGUCUAACCCUCAAACAGUCUCUCAGUCUUGUUCUCUAAAACCUAAAGAAUUAUGGAUUUGAUCAACUGGUCUCGUAACAAAAUUGUCACCUUCCUGGGCUUGGGAGAGCCCGAUUGUCCUGCAGAGAGGUUUGCUGCCGGAUACUCGAUGGUCGGUUGCGUCGACAAUAACAGAGUUCUGGCUGAUUGGAGCUGGAUUGGACCUGGCUUAUCGAAGAACAAAAAGCGCCUACAGCUGUUCAAAAUCCCACAAGGCUGGCCGACAUGAUAGACAAUGGGCAGGGCUGUGAGUAAGACUGUGUUAUUGAACGCAAUAUGGAUAAGAUCUUGGAGAAGCUCAUGGCUCUGCAAUAUGGAUAACAUCUUGGAAAAGAAGAACGGGAAUUGAGAGAAUUGAGAGAAUUGGUGACCAGUGAUGGACAUUAGACCAACUGUAAAAAUUGGAUGCAGUUAUUCGCACUAAACCCAAACAUUCACCAUCUUCACUCAUGCAGCUAUCCCACUGGUGCCAGCUGAAGGCCUGCCGAGGUCGAGGCUGACUGGAACAACAAAAAUUCUUCCAUGAUAACAGGACUGUUGUCAGAACACUGUCUCUCCUUCAAGGUCACCUGGGUCCACUGGAAACUGUUGACCUUAGCUUAACCGGGCGUGGUGACACUUUCUUUCAGCUGAACACGGGUGUUGGAGUCAAAUUGUUAAAUGUUGUCAUUGUGUUACUUAAAUUUGUAAGUCUUAGUUCAAGCAGCAUGAUCAAAGACAUUCCUUUGUCUCUGACCACCUCUCCAGCCAGUUUGUUGGUGGGGGAGGCUGUAGUGUUUUAUUAUAGGGACAUCCUAUCUGAAGGUACUGUUUUCUUGUAGUAAUUGUUUUGCUCAGAAGGAUGAAGCUCGGGGCCAGUGCCAGCUGCUGGCCUGGGAAAGGAUAGUGGGAGUCUUCCUGUUCAGCAACAGCCCGGGUUGGACAAAAGACUGUAGUAACUGAAAAGAUACACAGAGUUUGUGUGAUGUUAUAGAAGGGGCGCUGCGAUGCUAGAACGCUCAUUACUAUGAACCUGUUAUGUUUUGAUGUGUGUUCUCCUGCGCAGUAAUAAAUAGUUUGAUCACAGCUCUUUCAGUGUUGCAGACUUUAUUUACAAAAUUCCACGACAGUGGGAACACAUUAUUGUAUUGUGCAGUUUUUUUGUUUUUGUUUUUUUUUUAAAGAUGAGAGAAAA
This is a long non-coding RNA of Oreochromis aureus, 3158 nucleotides long. NCBI's taxonomy places the organism in Eukaryota, Metazoa, Chordata, Actinopteri, Cichliformes, Cichlidae. The record is from Ensembl.